AGUUGGAAACGGCUGCGUAAUACCGGAUACGCUCAAAAUGAACUUUUUGAGGAAAGAUGGCCUCUGCUUGCAUGCUAUCACGUAAGGAUGAGUCCGCGUCCCAUUAGCUUGUUGGCGGGGUAACGGCCCACCAAGGCAACGAUGGGUAGCCGAUUUGAGAGGAUGAUCGGCCACACUGGAACUGAAACACGGUCCAGACUCCUACGGGAGGCAGCAGUGGGGAAUAUUGCGCAAUGGGCGAAAGCCUGACGCAGCGACGCCGCGUGAGGGGAAUGAAGGUUUUCGGAUCGUAAACCUCUGUCAGAAGGGAAGAAACUACGUUGUGCUAAUCAGCAGCGUACCGACGGUACCUUCAAAGGAAGCACCGGCUAACUCCGUGCCAGCCGCUGC
This 390-nucleotide ribosomal RNA is filed under the name uncultured bacterium. RNAcentral's name for it is "bacterial SSU rRNA". It matches the Rfam family "Bacterial small subunit ribosomal RNA", at positions 148 to 518 of the family's 1533-position model. The record is from RNAcentral.